Non-coding RNA from Schistosoma curassoni, 45 nucleotides. The record is from Rfam. Lineage: Eukaryota; Metazoa; Platyhelminthes; Trematoda; Strigeidida; Schistosomatidae.
AUCCAUCUGAUGAGUCCCGAGUAGGACGAAAUGCGCGUCCUGGAU